Molecule: ribosomal RNA, 253 nt
Filed under: uncultured bacterium
Lineage: Bacteria
Description: partial 16S ribosomal RNA
Rfam family: Bacterial small subunit ribosomal RNA
Source: RNAcentral
UACGUAGGGUGCGAGCGUUAAUCGGAAUUACUGGGCGUAAAGCGUGCGCAGGCGGUGAUGUAAGUCUGAUGUGAAAGCCCCGGGCUCAACCUGGGAAUGGCAUUGGAAACUGGCUAGCUGGAGUGUGGCAGAGGGGGGUGGAAUUCCGCGUGUAGCAGUGAAAUGCGUAGAGAUGUGGAGGAACACCGAUGGCGAAGGCAGCCUCCUGGGCCAGCACUGACGCUCAUGCACGAAAGCGUGGGGAGCAAACAGG